GCCAGCAGACAUAGCACUCUGUCAUCCAAAACUGCCAACCCUCUGAAGCUCAGCAGGUGUGAGCCUGGUCAGUACCUGGAUGGGAGACCUCCUGGGAAAAACUAAGGUUGCUGCUGGAA
This 119-nucleotide ribosomal RNA is filed under the name Lepisosteus oculatus (spotted gar). The record is from RNAcentral. Lineage: Eukaryota; Metazoa; Chordata; Actinopteri; Semionotiformes; Lepisosteidae.